UUACAGUACAACGUCAUUCAAUAUGAUUUAAUUCCAUGGGUUAUUAACGAAGGGACUUUUUCUGGAAAAUCCAGUACUGCACGCUCAGUCAGUUAUUUGUUUGCUACUCCCUCCUGGAUUGGUUUCAUUUCUGUAGGAAGUUCACUUAGUUUACUACGAGAAAAGUGAAAGCUUUGCAGACGGGAAAGUUUUUGCUGGAGACACUGCGGUCGCUGAGAAAGAAAGUCAGGCUACUGUUGUGUAAAUGAAGAUGCUUGCACUGAGGAUGAAUCUAUCUCCCUGUACAAUCUGUUUCUUAUGGCUUUGUGGAUCUUCUCUUGCAGCGGCUUCUCAGAACAUGUUACGUUGUGCUGAAAGCACUGGGAUCUUGUAUCAAGAUGCUGUACUGAGCUGCUCUCUGCACUCUGAAUAUGAUGAUGUGAUUGUUACAAAACUGAUAUGGCAGAAAGUGGCAAGUAACAGAACAUCACUGAUUGCUUACAAAGACGGGAUAUUUACAACACAAAAUCAGCGAUUCAGCCUGCAAGAGGACUGGAGUAAUACAAGCAGAGAUGUGUCCCUCGUGGUGAGGAAGACCCAGACCAGCGACCAGGGGCUCUACCAGUGUUCAGUAGUGUCAAAUCGGGGAAUAGAUGCUUCCAAUGUCACCCUAAUUGUGACAGCUCGAGUGACAGCUGAUGAACCAGCUCCGAAGGAACAAGAGAAGCCGAGGUAUCACUGGAUUCUCAUUGCAGCACUGGUGGGAUUGCUGCUUGUCAUCGGAGGCUUUUUGUUGGGACAAAAAUUCAUCAUCCAAAGGAAGUUACAAUGGCAGGAACCCAUAUCUGUGGAGGUACAACGAAGAACACAGAAGAUAGUUCAGUGGAGUGGAGAUACAUUACUAGUUGAUUAAUGAUUAAGGAUGAGGAAAUAAUAUAUCAAACCUCAAUUGUUAUCAUGUUUUACAAACAUUCUCUAUUGAACUGUGUAUGUGAACAUUAUCGAUUAGCUACGGCUGAACCACUUACGUUCUGUAAUUUCAUUCUGCUGAAUUGUUUAUUAUGAUGUGCUUUUACUAACUACUGUGACCUGUGAAGAUGUGAAAGGAGUUUUAUUUUCAGCAGCACUACAAAUGAUUGAGACAGCUAGAGUGUACAAUGCACAGUUCCAGCUCCCAGCUCCGGAGCAUGUCUGUCGUGUGCCACCUGAACCAGUUGAAGCCUCUUCCAGGUCCCUAUGAUACCUAUAAAACCUGCAGGACUCCGCACCUCAGGACUGGAUUUGGGCACCCCUGAUUAGUUUGAAAUAGUGUUCAAUUUUGCAGUAAGAAAGUUCCCAGAUAACUUCAUUCCUAAAUAAGUCACAUUCAAAUUGUGAAUUUUAAAUUUAACUUCUAGUUACUCUUGGAUUCCUUCACAAACAAUGAAAAACGUAUAUGAAGCUGUUUGUCUUGGUAAUGCCACUGCACUUGUUGAAAGAACUGGGGGAGAUGGGGGUGGGAUCCACUGUAAGCACCUACACUGUAAAUAAAAACACUGUCUGUGGAUCUAGCAUUAGUAGAUCAGGUGCUGGUGACACAAGAACAUCCUGUUAUAAAUAUGUAAUCAUGAAUAUUGUGUAAAUAUGUUUUACAUUUUUAAAUCUAAUAAAUAUCUCUAAACUUG
Molecule: long non-coding RNA, 1643 nt
Organism: Acipenser ruthenus (sterlet)
Lineage: Eukaryota; Metazoa; Chordata; Actinopteri; Acipenseriformes; Acipenseridae
Exons: 4
Source: RefSeq, a predicted model, not a curated record